This 293-nucleotide ribosomal RNA is filed under the name uncultured microorganism. Its description in RNAcentral is "partial 16S ribosomal RNA". It matches the Rfam family "Bacterial small subunit ribosomal RNA", at positions 505 to 796 of the family's 1533-position model. The record is from RNAcentral.
GUGCCAGCAGCCGCGGUAAUACGUAGGUGGCAAGCGUUGUCCUGAAAUUUAUGGGCGUAAAGCGCGCGCAGGCGGCCUCUUAAGUCUGAUGUGAAAAGCCCCCGGCUCACCGGGGAGGGCCAUUGGAAACUGGGAGGCUUGAGUAUAGGAGAGAAGAGUGGAAUUCCACGUGUAGCGGUGAAAUGCGUAGAGAUGUGGAGGAACACCAGUGGCGAAGGCGACUCUUUGGCCUAUAACUGACGCUGAGGCGCGAAAGCGUGGGGAGCAAACAGGAUUAGAUACCCUGGUAGUCC